Molecule: ribosomal RNA, 253 nt
Filed under: uncultured bacterium
Lineage: Bacteria
Description: partial 16S ribosomal RNA
Rfam family: Bacterial small subunit ribosomal RNA
Source: RNAcentral
UACGGGGGGGGCGAGCGUUGUUCGGAAUCACUGGGCGUAAAGCGCACGUAGGCGGAUCUUUAAGUCAGGGGUGAAAUCCCAAGGCUCAACCUUGGAACUGCCUUUGAUACUGGGGAUCUCGAGUCCGGAAGAGGUGAGUGGAACUGCGAGUGUAGAGGUGAAAUUCGUAGAUAUUCGCAAGAACACCAGUGGCGAAGGCGGCUCACUGGUCCGGUACUGACGCUGAGGUGCGAAAGCGUGGGGAGCAAACAGG